GGAAGGAUCAUUACAGUGCCUGUAAGGUGCCGGGUAACCCCUAGCACUUUGCAUCCUGGCCACCCGUGUCUACUUUACCUUUUGUUGCUUUGGCGGGCCGGUCCCCUGGACCGUUAGGGGCGCGCAUCCACGAGCGUGGGUACGUUCCCUUGGCCGUGCCCGCCAAAAGACCCUUAGAACUCUUGUGAAUUAGGACUGUCUGAGUCGAUGUGAAUAGCAUAAAACUUUCAACAACGGAUCUCUUGGUUCUGGCAUCGAUGAAGAACGCAGCGAAAUGCGAUAAGUAAUGUGAAUUGCAGAAUUCAGUGAAUCAUCGAAUCUUUGAACGCACAUUGCGCCCUUUGGUAUUCCGAGGGGCAUGCCUGUUCGAGCGUCAUUUCAAAUCCUCAAGCUCGGCUUGUGUAAUGGGCUCUAGCGCCUGCUUUAGGGCAGGUGAGCCUGAAAGAUAGUGGCAGUGUAGUGCGAGCAGCUACCGUGUAUGGGGAACUUUUGUCACACACUGGCAGCGCGUACCCACGCUUGUCUCAUCUUCUUCUGUGGUUUGACCUCGGAUCAGGUAGGGAUACCCGCUGAACUUAAGCAUAUCAAUAAGCGGAGGAAAAGAAACCAACUGGGAUUGCCCUAGUAACGGCGAGUGAAGCGGCAACAGCUCAAAUUUGAAAUCUAGCUCCUUAGGGGCUCGAGUUGUAAUUUGGAGAGGAUGCUUCGGGUGCGGCCAUGAUCUAAGUGCCCUGGAACAGGACGUCACAGAGGGUGAGAACCCCGUCUUUGAUUGUAGGCACGCGCCCGUGUGAAGCUCCUUCAACGAGUCGAGUUGUUUGGGAAUGCAGCUCUAAAUGGGUGGUAAAUUUCAUCUAAAGCUAAAUACUGGCUGGAGACCGAUAGCGCACAAGUAGAGUGAUCGAAAGGUUAAAAGCACCUUGAAAAGGGAGUUAAACAGCACGUGAAAUUGUUGAAAGGGAAGCGCUUGCAGCCAGACUCGACCGUGUAGGCUCAGUGGGUAGUCGUACCUACGCACUCCUAUGCGGUUGGGCCAGCAUCAGUUCUGGCGGCUGGUCAAAGGCCCCUGGAAGGUAUCGCCUCUCGGGGCGUCUUACAGCCAGGGGUGCAAUGCGGCCUGCCGGGACUGAGGAUGGCGCCUUAGGGCACUGAUGCUGGCAUAAUGGCUGCAAGCGACCCGUCUUGAAACACGGACCAAGGAGUCUAACAUCCACGCGAGUGUUUGGGUGUCAAACCCAUGCGCGCAGUGAAAGCAAACGGAGGUGGGAUCCUCCCUUCCCGGGGGGGCGCACCAUCGACCGAUCCUGAAGUCUUCGGAUGGAUUUGAGUAAGAGCGUGGCUGUUGGGACCCGAAAGAUGGUGAACUAUGCCUGAAUAGGGUGAAGCCAGAGGAAACUCUGGUGGAGGCUCGCAGCGGUUCUGACGUGCAAAUCGAUCGUCAAAUUUGGGUAUAGGGGCGAAAGACUAAUCGAACCAUCUAGUAGCUGGUUCCUGC
Molecule: unclassified non-coding RNA, 1495 nt
Filed under: uncultured Onygenales
Lineage: Eukaryota; Fungi; Ascomycota; Eurotiomycetes; Onygenales
Description: sequence contains 18S rRNA gene, ITS1, 5.8S rRNA gene, ITS2, 28S rRNA gene
Rfam family: Eukaryotic large subunit ribosomal RNA (bases 543-1495)
Source: RNAcentral